GCACAAGCGGUGGAGCAUGUGGUUCAAUUCGACGCAACGCGAAGAACCUUACCUGGGCUCGAAGCGCAGUGGACCGGGGUAGAAAUAUCCCUUCCCCUUAAAAGGCUGCUGCGGAGGUGCUGCAUGGCUGUCGUCAGCUCGUGUCGUGAGAUGUUGGGUUAAGUCCCGCAACGAGCGCAACCCUUAUCCCUAGUUGCCAUCGGGUCAAGCCGGGCACUCUAGUGAAACUGCCUCGGAUAACGAGGAGGAAGGUGGGGAUGACGUCAAGUCCUCAUGGCCUUUAUGUCCAGGGCUACACACGUGCUACAAUGGUCGGUACAAACCGUCGCAAACCCGUGAGGGGGAGCUAAUCGGAAAAAGCCGGCCUCAGUUCGGAUUGGAGUCUGCAACUCGACUCCAUGAAGCUGGAAUCGCUAGUAAUCGCGGAUCAGAACGCCGCGGUGAAUACGUUCCCGGGC
RNAcentral lists this ribosomal RNA (458 nucleotides) under uncultured bacterium. RNAcentral describes it as "bacterial SSU rRNA". It matches the Rfam family "Bacterial small subunit ribosomal RNA", at positions 923 to 1379 of the family's 1533-position model. The record is from RNAcentral.